UACGUAGGGGGGCAAGCGUUGUCCGGAUUUAUUGGGCGUAAAGAGCGUGUAGGCGGUUUGGUAGGUCCGCUGUGAAAACUCGAGGCUCAACCUCGAGACGCCGGUGGAAACCAUCAGGCUAGAGUCCGGAAGAGGAGAGUGGAAUUCCUGGUGUAGCGGUGAAAUGCGCAGAUAUCAGGAAGAACACCCGUGGCUAAGGCGGCUCUCUAGUACGGUACUGGACGCUGAGACGCGAAAGCGUGGGGAGCGAACAGG
Molecule: ribosomal RNA, 255 nt
Filed under: uncultured bacterium
Lineage: Bacteria
Description: partial 16S ribosomal RNA
Rfam family: Bacterial small subunit ribosomal RNA
Source: RNAcentral